RNAcentral lists this ribosomal RNA (3150 nucleotides) under Streptomyces ambofaciens. RNAcentral's name for it is "bacterial LSU rRNA". It matches the Rfam family "Bacterial large subunit ribosomal RNA". The record is from RNAcentral. Lineage: Bacteria; Bacillati; Actinomycetota; Actinomycetes; Kitasatosporales; Streptomycetaceae.
ACAGUGGACGCGAGCAUCUGUGGCCAAGUUUUUAAGGGCGCACGGUGGAUGCCUUGGCACCAGGAACCGAUGAAGGACGUGGGAGGCCACGAUAGUCCCCGGGGAGCCGUCAACCAGGCUUUGAUCCGGGGGUUUCCGAAUGGGGAAACCCGGCAGUCGUCAUGGGCUGUCACCCGCUGCUGAACACAUAGGCAGUGUGGAGGGAACGCGGGGAAGUGAAACAUCUCAGUACCCGCAGGAAGAGAAAACAACCGUGAUUCCGGGAGUAGUGGCGAGCGAAACCGGAUGAGGCCAAACCGUAUACGUGUGAGACCCGGCAGGGGUUGCGUGUGCGGGGUUGUGGGAUCUCUCUUUCACAGUCUGCCGGCUGUGAGGCGAGUCAGAAACCGUUGAUGUAGGCGAAGGACAUGCGAAAGGUCCGGCGUAGAGGGUAAGACCCCCGUAGUCGAAACAUCAGCGGCUCGUUUGAGAGACACCCAAGUAGCACGGGGCCCGAGAAAUCCCGUGUGAAUCUGGCGGGACCACCCGCUAAGCCUAAAUAUUCCCUGGUGACCGAUAGCGGAUAGUACCGUGAGGGAAUGGUGAAAAGUACCGCGGGAGCGGAGUGAAAUAGUACCUGAAACCGUGUGCCUACAAGCCGUGGGAGCGUCGGACGGAGAGCUUGCUCUUCGUCUCGUGACUGCGUGCCUUUUGAAGAAUGAGCCUGCGAGUUUGCGGUGUGUUGCGAGGUUAACCCGAGUGGGGAAGCCGUAGCGAAAGCGAGUCCGAAUAGGGCGUUUCAGUAGCACGCUCAAGACCCGAAGCGGAGUGAUCUAGCCAUGGGCAGGUUGAAGCGGAGGUAAGACUUCGUGGAGGACCGAACCCACCAGGGUUGAAAACCUGGGGGAUGACCUGUGGUUAGGGGUGAAAGGCCAAUCAAACUCCGUGAUAGCUGGUUCUCCCCGAAAUGCAUUUAGGUGCAGCGUCGUGUGUUUCUUGCCGGAGGUAGAGCACUGGAUAGGCGAUGGGCCCUACCGGGUUACUGACCUUAGCCAAACUCCGAAUGCCGGUAAGUGAGAGCGCGGCAGUGAGACUGUGGGGGAUAAGCUCCAUGGUCGAGAGGGAAACAGCCCAGAGCAUCGACUAAGGCCCCUAAGCGUACGCUAAGUGGGAAAGGAUGUGGAGUCGCACAGACAACCAGGAGGUUGGCUUAGAAGCAGCCACCCUUGAAAGAGUGCGUAAUAGCUCACUGGUCUAGUGAUUCCGCGCCGACAAUGUAGCGGGGCUCAAGCGUACCGCCGAAGUCGUGUCAUUGCAGCAUAUACGGCCAACGCCGGCUGUGAUGGGUAGGGGAGCGUCGUGUGCCGGGUGAAGCAGCCGCGGAAGCGAGUUGUGGACGGUUCACGAGUGAGAAUGCAGGCAUGAGUAGCGAUACAAACGUGAGAAACGUUUGCGCCGAUUGACUAAGGGUUCCUGGGUCAAGCUGAUCUGCCCAGGGUAAGUCGGGACCUAAGGCGAGGCCGACAGGCGUAGUCGAUGGAUAACCGGUUGAUAUUCCGGUACCCGCUGUGAAGCGUCAAACAUCGAGCAUCGUGAUGCUAAGGCCGUGAAGCCGCCCUGAUCUCUUCGGAGUUGAGGGGAGUGGUGGAGCCGCCGGACCAAGCGGUUAGUAGGUGAGUGAUGGGGUGACGCAGGAAGGUAGUCCAUCCCGGGCGGUGGUUGUCCCGGGGUAAGGGUGUAGGCCGUGCGGUAGGUAAAUCCGUCGCACACAAGGCUGAGACCUGAUGCCGAGCCGAUUGUGGUGAAGUGGAUGAUCCUAUGCUGUCGAGAAAAGCCUCUAGCGAGUUUCAUGGCGGCCCGUACCCUAAACCGACUCAGGUGGUCAGGUAGAGAAUACCGAGGCGUUCGGGUGAACUAUGGUUAAGGAACUCGGCAAAAUGCCCCCGUAACUUCGGGAGAAGGGGGGCCACACCUGGUGAUGAUCUUUACGGUCUGAGCUGGGGGUGGCCGCAGAGACCAGCGAGAAGCGACUGUUUACUAAAAACACAGGUCCGUGCGAAGCCGUAAGGCGAUGUAUACGGACUGACGCCUGCCCGGUGCUGGAACGUUAAGGGGACCGGUUAGCUCCAUUUCGGUGGGGCGAAGCUGAGAACUUAAGCGCCAGUAAACGGCGGUGGUAACUAUAACCAUCCUAAGGUAGCGAAAUUCCUUGUCGGGUAAGUUCCGACCUGCACGAAUGGCGUAACGACUUCUCGACUGUCUCAACCAUAGGCCCGGUGAAAUUGCACUACGAGUAAAGAUGCUCGUUUCGCGCAGCAGGACGGAAAGACCCCGGGACCUUUACUACAGUUUGAUAUUGGUGUUCGGUUCGGCUUGUGUAGGAUAGCUGGGAGACUUUGAAGCUCGCACGCCAGUGUGGGUGGAGUCGUCGUUGAAAUACCAGUCUGGUCGUGCUGGAUGUCUAACCUGGGUCCGUGAUCCGGAUCAGGGACAGUGUCUGAUGGGUAGUUUAACUGGGGCGGUUGCCUCCUAAAGAGUAACGGAGGCGCCCAAAGGUUCCCUCAGCCUGGUUGGCAAUCAGGUGUUGAGUGUAAGUGCACAAGGGAGCUUGACUGUGAGACCGACGGGUCGAGCAGGGACGAAAGUCGGGACUAGUGAUCCGGCGGUGGCUUGUGGAAGCGCCGUCGCUCAACGGAUAAAAGGUACCCCGGGGAUAACAGGCUGAUCUUCCCCAAGAGUCCAUAUCGACGGGAUGGUUUGGCACCUCGAUGUCGGCUCGUCGCAUCCUGGGGCUGGAGUCGGUCCCAAGGGUUGGGCUGUUCGCCCAUUAAAGCGGUACGCGAGCUGGGUUUAGAACGUCGUGAGACAGUUCGGUCCCUAUCCGCUGUGCGCGUAGGAGUCUUGAGAAGGGCUGUCCCUAGUACGAGAGGACCGGGACGGACGAACCUCUGGUGUGCCAGUUGUCCUGCCAAGGGCAUGGCUGGUUGGCUACGUUCGGGAGGGAUAACCGCUGAAAGCAUCUAAGCGGGAAGCCUGCUUCGAGAUGAGGACUCCCACCCCCUUGAGGGGUUAAGGCUCCCAGUAGACGACUGGGUUGAUAGGCCGGAUCUGGAAGCACCGCAAGGUGUGGAGGUGACCGGUACUAAUAGGCCGAGGGCUUGUCCUCAGUUG